UGCAGUUUUUUGAUAUACCUGUACAUUGGCAAGAAAAACUUUGUGAACCCUUUGUGAAUGUAUAAAUUUGUCUUAAAAUCCGGUUUGAUCUUCAUCUAAGUUACUAUAAUCAACAAACACAACCGGUUUCAACUAAUAACGCACAAUUUAUCGUAUUGUUCUUGUGCAUACUCAAUAUUUCAUUCAAAUAUUCACAGUAUAUGUUGGAAAAAGUAUGUGAACCCCUAGGCUAAUGACGUCGACGAAAGCUAAUUAGAGUGGGAAGUUGAUGACCCUGGCGUCCAAUCAAUGAGCCUGGAGGUGUGUGAAACAUUAGAGUUUGUUCUUCACAAGAAACAUCUGCUGAUGUGAACCAUACCUUGCAAAAAGACAUCUCAGAAGACCUACGAUCAAGAUAUUGCUGCCAAAGGAGGAUCAACCAGCCAUUAACUCCAAGUGUUCACUCACUUUUUCCACAGCACUGUGAACAUCUAAUGGGAUGUGUUCAAUAAAGACAUAAAAGAUUAUAAACGUUUGAGUGUCGUUAUCAUAGCUUAAGCAAAGCUUGUGACUUUGAUGAAGAUCACAUGAGAUCACAUUCCAUGUCCUCUUUUUCUCAGCCAUACAAAGCUCCAAACUCUUCAACUUUUAAAACGUUUUUUUUCUCUACAAAUGACAUUGCUACUAGUUUUAUAGCCAGUAGCUAUGACGUAGCUAUAGUUUUUAGCCAGUAGCUAUAUUUUUUAGCCAGUAGCUAUGAAGUAGCUAUAGUUUUUAGCCAGUAGCUAUAGUUUUGAGCCAGUAGCUAUGAAGUAGCUAUAGUUUUUAGCCAGUAGCUAUGAAGUAGCUAUAGUUUUUAGCCAGUAGCUAUAGUUUUUAGCCAGUAGCUAUGAAGUAGCUAUAGUUUUUAGCCAGUAGCUAUAGUUUCUAGCCAGUAGCUAUGAUGUAGCUAUAGUUUUUAGCCAGUAGCUAUAGUUUCUAGCCAGUAGCUAUGAUGUAGCUAUAGUUUUUAGCCAGUAGCUAUGAAGUAGCUAUAGCUUUUAGCCAGUAGCUAUGAAGUAGCUAUAGUUUCUAGCCAGUAGCUAUGACGUAGCUAUAGUUUUUAUCCAGUAGCUAUAGUUUUUAGCCAGUAGCUAUGAAGUAGCUAUAGUUUCUAGCCAGUAGCUAUGACGUAGCUACAGUUUUUAGCCAGUUGCUAUAGUUUUUAGCCAGCAACUAUGAAGUAGCUAUAGUUUUUAGCCAGUGGCUAUGAAGUAGCUAUAGUUUCUAGCCAGUAGCUAUGACGUAGCUAUAGUUUUGAGCCAGUAGCUAUGAAGUAGCUAUAGUUUUUAGCCAGUAGCUAUGAAGUAGCUAUAGUUUUUAGCCAGUAGCUAUGAAGUAGCUAUAGUUUUUAGCCAGUAGCUAUGAUGUAGCUAUAGUUUUUAGCCAG
This is a long non-coding RNA of Ictalurus punctatus (channel catfish), 1408 nucleotides long. NCBI's taxonomy places the organism in Eukaryota, Metazoa, Chordata, Actinopteri, Siluriformes, Ictaluridae. The record is from Ensembl.